CAAUAGCGUAUAUUAAAGUUGUUGCAGUUAAAAGCUCGUAGUUGGAUUUCUGGGAGGGUGCCAAUGUCCGUCGUCGUACGUGUUGCAGCGGCGCCUUCCAUCCUUCUGUUAACGACUUUGGGCAUUCAUUUGCCGGAGUCGGGCUCAGAUAUUUUACCUUGAGAAAAUUAGAGUGUUCAGGCAGGCUAGGCCGGAAUACAUUAGCAUGGAAUAAUGGAAUAGGACUACGGUCUCUUUGUUGGUUUUGAGGGGACUGCAGUAAUGAUUAAUAGGGAUUAGUUGGGGCGUUAGUAUUUAAUUGUCAGAGGUGAAAUUCUUGGAUUUGUUAAAAGACGGACUACUGCGAAAUGCAUUUGCCAAGGAUGUUUUCAUUGAUCAAGAACGAAAGUUAGGGGAUCGAAGACGAUUAGAU
This 412-nucleotide ribosomal RNA is filed under the name uncultured eukaryote. RNAcentral describes it as "bacterial SSU rRNA". It matches the Rfam family "Eukaryotic small subunit ribosomal RNA", at positions 592 to 1013 of the family's 1831-position model. The record is from RNAcentral.